This 212-nucleotide unclassified non-coding RNA is filed under the name Glomeromycota sp. RNAcentral's name for it is "partial contains 5.8S ribosomal RNA and internal transcribed spacer 2". The stretch from base 1 to 65 matches the Rfam family "5.8S ribosomal RNA", at positions 84 to 154 of the family's 154-position model. The record is from RNAcentral. Lineage: Eukaryota; Fungi; Glomeromycota.
GUGAAUCAUCAAAUUUUUGAACGCAAAUUGCACUCUCUUCGGAUAGUAUGCCUGUCUGAGGGUCAGCCUAAAAAAAAUCUCCAUGUUCUCUUUUGCGCGGUGCCUUUCUGCGGAAAUUGGUGCAUCUUAAGCCUUUGGGUUUUAGGCGGCUGAAAUUUUUCUUUCCGAUUCCAGGACCGUUUUUAAAAUUUACUUCUUCAACUUUUAAGGGA